UAUCUCUCCGUACGGGGAAGGAUGAGAAGCUUCGACUAAGGUUCGAUUCGAGCGAAAGCGAGAAAGCGUUGCCGCAGGCAACGACCCGAAGGGCGAAGCGCGCAGCGCUGAGUCAUCCUUCCCCCACCACCA
RNAcentral lists this small RNA (132 nucleotides) under Salmonella enterica subsp. enterica serovar Gallinarum. RNAcentral describes it as "RtT sRNA". It matches the Rfam family "RtT RNA". From Rfam's summary of the family: This family represents a bacterial cis-regulatory element known as RtT RNA. The record is from RNAcentral. Lineage: Bacteria; Pseudomonadati; Pseudomonadota; Gammaproteobacteria; Enterobacterales; Enterobacteriaceae. RNAcentral also lists the same sequence under 254 other names.